CACAGAGCCUGCAUAGGGCUCAAACUCACGAACUGUGAGAUCGUGACCUGAGCCAAAGUUGGUCACUUAACCAACUGAGCCACCCAGGCGCCCCAACAAACAUCUUUAAUAGUGAGCUGUGAUACAAUAGGAUUUUAUUUUAUAUGUAGUUUGGAAAUAUGAGAAUAAAUCUAAAAUAUACAUAAGUAUUUAUAAAUAGUUAUUGGUUGAGUUAAAGGAAACUGAUAGCUUAACAGUAACACCUAAAGACUGUGAAAGAUUCUCUUUCUUAUAAUUUUAUGUUAAUGAAUAUAGACUAGAAUGAUUCCAUUUCCUAUAUAAGAAUAUGUUUCUUAAAACUGUUUGGAAAAUUUCUCAAAUUUAGAAAUCAAUUAUAAAUUACUAAUUGUGAUUCAAGUAGACUAUAAAUGUCAGAAAUGAAAGCACCCUGUCAACCCUAUUUGUGAAAUAUGUUUCUAAACAAAAUGUUGGAUCGAAGGUAAACUGCUCUUUCUCUUGUUUGAGUUCUAAUCAUAUCCAAUAUUCACAUGAGUGUUGAAGUUGUUCUUGGUCUAGGCCACGCCUGGCAUUUUCUCAGAAUUUUUAUACUUUAUUAGAUAUCUAGAUUUUGUAGGAGAGACUAAGGAUGCUAAUGUGAUUUAUUACAUUAUUAUACUUGUAAAUAGUAACAUCAUUUGUAUCUUAAAGGACUGCUAUUAUUUUUACCUGCCUUUUUGGAAAUUAUAUCUGUUCCCGGAACUAAAUUUAGAACAUGUCCAUAUUAAAAAAUAAAGAGAUUAAAAUAAUCAAUACGCUUCUCCUUUUUUGUUAACUUUUGAAUGUAUAUCCACAAAAGAGUUCCAGUUACUUAUCUGCUGGAAGAGCAAAGACAUAUUUGAGCCUUAGAGAUAAUCAAACCAGGAACUAUAGCAAUGCUAGGAACCACUCUUCUUAUUUUUCAUCUGUGUAUUAAUGUUAUUUUUCCAGAUUAAUUUUUCCAGGGAGUGGAACCAUAGUUACCAACAUCUUCCAGACCCAUAUAUUCUAAAUUUUGCUAUUCAGAAAAUAAGGUCCUUCCUCUUUUACAUUCCAGUUGGAAAAUCCUCAAGGAGUGCUUCUGAUUGACCCAGGUCUCAUUAUUUUUAAAACCAUAUGGCUAGAAGGACUUAGUAUUAUGAUAGGCAACCCUCAGUUGAAUCACAUAGUUGGAGUACAUAGAAAAUAGGUCCCCCC
Long non-coding RNA from Leopardus geoffroyi (Geoffroy's cat), 1212 nucleotides. RefSeq lists it as uncharacterized. Lineage: Eukaryota; Metazoa; Chordata; Mammalia; Carnivora; Felidae. The record is from RefSeq and is a predicted model, not a curated record. The transcript has 2 exons.